Molecule: ribosomal RNA, 1443 nt
Filed under: uncultured organism
Description: SSU rRNA
Rfam family: Bacterial small subunit ribosomal RNA
Source: RNAcentral
CUACAGGCUUAACACAUGCAAGUCGAGGGGCAGCAUUUUAGUUUGCUUGCAAACUGAAGAUGGCGACCGGCGCACGGGUGAGUAACACGUAUCCAACCUGCCGAUAACUCCGGAAUAGCCUUUCGAAAGAAAGAUUAAUACCGGAUAGCAUACGAAUAUCGCAUGAUAUUUUUAUUAAAGAAUUUCGGUUAUCGAUGGGGAUGCGUUCCAUUAGUUUGUUGGCGGGGUAACGGCCCACCAAGACUACGAUGGAUAGGGGUUCUGAGAGGAAGGUCCCCCACAUUGGAACUGAGACACGGUCCAAACUCCUACGGGAGGCAGCAGUGAGGAAUAUUGGUCAAUGGGCGAGAGCCUGAACCAGCCAAGUAGCGUGAAGGAUGAAGGCUCUAUGGGUCGUAAACUUCUUUUAUAUGGGAAUAAAGUUUUCCACGUGUGGAAUUUUGUAUGUACCAUAUGAAUAAGGAUCGGCUAACUCCGUGCCAGCAGCCGCGGUAAUACGGAGGAUCCGAGCGUUAUCCGGAUUUAUUGGGUUUAAAGGGAGCGUAGGUGGAUUGUUAAGUCAGUUGUGAAAGUUUGCGGCUCAACCGUAAAAUUGCAGUUGAAACUGGCAGUCUUGAGUACAGUAGAGGUGGGCGGAAUUCGUGGUGUAGCGGUGAAAUGCUUAGAUAUCACGAAGAACUCCGAUUGCGAAGGCAGCUCACUAGACUGUCACUGACACUGAUGCUCGAAAGUGUGGGUAUCAAACAGGAUUAGAUACCCUGGUAGUCCACACAGUAAACGAUGAAUACUCGCUGUUUGCGAUAUACAGUAAGCGGCCAAGCGAAAGCAUUAAGUAUUCCACCUGGGGAGUACGCCGGCAACGGUGAAACUCAAAGGAAUUGACGGGGGCCCGCACAAGCGGAGGAACAUGUGGUUUAAUUCGAUGAUACGCGAGGAACCUUACCCGGGCUUAAAUUGCAACAGAAUAUAUUGGAAACAGUAUAGCCGUAAGGCUGUUGUGAAGGUGCUGCAUGGUUGUCGUCAGCUCGUGCCGUGAGGUGUCGGCUUAAGUGCCAUAAUGAGCGCAACCCUUAUCUUUAGUUACUAACAGGUCAUGCUGAGGACUCUAGAGAGACUGCCGUCGUAAGAUGUGAGGAAGGUGGGGAUGACGUCAAAUCAGCACGGCCCUUACGUCCGGGGCUACACACGUGUUACAAUGGGGGGUACAGAAGGCGGCUACCUGGUGACAGGAUGCUAAUCCCAAAAACCUCUCUCAGUUCGGAUCGAAGUCUGCAACCCGACUUCGUGAAGCUGGAUUCGCUAGUAAUCGCGCAUCAGCCAUAGCGCGGUGAAUACGUUCCCGGGCCUUGUACACACCGCCCGUCAAGCCAUGAAAGCCGGGGGUACCUGAAGUACGUAACCGCAAGGAGCGUCCUAGGGUAAAACUGGUAAUUGGGGCUAAGU